RNAcentral lists this ribosomal RNA (952 nucleotides) under Lentilactobacillus buchneri. Its description in RNAcentral is "bacterial SSU rRNA". It matches the Rfam family "Bacterial small subunit ribosomal RNA", at positions 54 to 962 of the family's 1533-position model. Lineage: Bacteria; Bacillati; Bacillota; Bacilli; Lactobacillales; Lactobacillaceae. The record is from RNAcentral.
AAUGCAGUCGAACGCGUCUCCGUUGAUGAUUUUAGGUGCUUGCACUUGAAAGAUUUAACAUUGAGACGAGUGGCGAACUGGUGAGUAACACGUGGGUAACCUGCCCUUGAAGUAGGGGAUAACACUUGGAAACAGGUGCUAAUACCGUAUAACAACCAAAACCACCUGGUUUUGGUUUAAAAGACGGCUUCGGCUGUCACUUUAGGAUGGACCCGCGGCGUAUUAGCUUGUUGGUAAGGUAACGGCCUACCAAGGCGAUGAUACGUAGCCGACCUGAGAGGGUAAUCGGCCACAUUGGGACUGAGACACGGCCCAAACUCCUACGGGAGGCAGCAGUAGGGAAUCUUCCACAAUGGACGAAAGUCUGAUGGAGCAACGCCGCGUGAGUGAUGAAGGGUUUCGGCUCGUAAAACUCUGUUGUUGGAGAAGAACAGGUGUCAGAGUAACUGUUGACAUCUUGACGGUAUCCAACCAGAAAGCCACGGCUAACUACGUGCCAGCAGCCGCGGUAAUACGUAGGUGGCAAGCGUUGUCCGGAUUUAUUGGGCGUAAAGCGAGCGCAGGCGGUUUUUUAGGUCUGAUGUGAAAGCCUUCGGCUUAACCGGAGAAGUGCAUCGGAAACCGGGAGACUUGAGUGCAGAAGAGGACAGUGGAACUCCAUGUGUAGCGGUGAAAUGCGUAGAUAUAUGGAAGAACACCAGUGGCGAAGGCGGCUGUCUGGUCUGUAACUGACGCUGAGGCUCGAAAGCAUGGGUAGCGAACAGGAUUAGAUACCCUGGUAGUCCAUGCCGUAAACGAUGAGUGCUAAGUGUUGGAGGGUUUCCGCCCUUCAGUGCUGCAGCUAACGCAUUAAGCACUCCGCCUGGGGAGUACAACCGCAGGGGUGAAACUCAAAGGAAUUGACGGGGGCCCGCACAACCGGGGGAACAUGUGGUUUAAUUCCAUGCUCCGC